RNAcentral lists this transfer RNA (83 nucleotides) under Bdellovibrionales bacterium. RNAcentral's name for it is "tRNA-Tyr". It matches the Rfam family "tRNA". Rfam says of the family: Transfer RNA (tRNA) molecules are approximately 80 nucleotides in length. Their secondary structure includes four short double-helical elements and three loops (D, anti-codon, and T loops). The record is from RNAcentral. Lineage: Bacteria; Pseudomonadati; Bdellovibrionota; Bdellovibrionia; Bdellovibrionales.
GGUGGGAUGUCCGAGUGGCUAAAGGAGGCAGACUGUAAAUCUGCUGGCGCAAGCCUACGCAGGUUCGAACCCUGCUCCCACCA